UACGAGUGCCUCAAGCGUUAUCCGGAAUCAUUGGGCGUAAAGGGUGUGUAGGUGGCAAUAUUAGUCUUGUGUUAAAUCUACUGGCUCAACCGGUAGGCUGCAUGGGAAACGGUAUAGCUUAGAGGACGGUAGAGGUCUCUGGAACUCAUAGUGUAGCGGUAAAAUGCGUUGAUAUUAUGGGGAACACCAAAAGCGAAGGCAAGAGACUGGACCGCUCCUGACACUGAAACACGAAAGCGUGGGUCGCGAAUGGG
Molecule: ribosomal RNA, 254 nt
Filed under: uncultured bacterium
Lineage: Bacteria
Description: partial 16S ribosomal RNA
Rfam family: Bacterial small subunit ribosomal RNA
Source: RNAcentral